RNAcentral lists this ribosomal RNA (116 nucleotides) under Lepisosteus oculatus (spotted gar). Lineage: Eukaryota; Metazoa; Chordata; Actinopteri; Semionotiformes; Lepisosteidae. The record is from RNAcentral.
GCCAGCAGCCAUAUCACCCUGAAACGUACAACUCACAACCCACUGAAGCUCAGCAGGCGUGAGCCUGACCAGUACCUAGAUAGGAGACCCUGGGAAAGCAAAGGUUGCUGCUGGAA